RNAcentral lists this ribosomal RNA (253 nucleotides) under uncultured bacterium. RNAcentral's name for it is "partial 16S ribosomal RNA". It matches the Rfam family "Bacterial small subunit ribosomal RNA", at positions 524 to 776 of the family's 1533-position model. The record is from RNAcentral.
UACGUAGGCAGCGAGCGUUGUUCGGAAUCACUGGGCGUAAAGCGCACGUAAGCGGAUUGUUAAGUCGGGGGUGAAAUCCUGAGGCUCAACCUCAGAACUGCCUUCGAUACUGGCAAUCUCGAGUCCGGAAGAGGUUGGUGGAACAGCUAGUGUAGAGGUGAAAUUCGUAGAUAUUAGCUAGAACACCAGUGGCGAAGGCGGCCAACUGGUCCGGUACUGACGCUGAGGUGCGAAAGCGUGGGGAGCAAACAGG